RNAcentral lists this ribosomal RNA (381 nucleotides) under Triticum aestivum (bread wheat). RNAcentral's name for it is "partial small subunit ribosomal RNA". Lineage: Eukaryota; Viridiplantae; Streptophyta; Magnoliopsida; Poales; Poaceae. The record is from RNAcentral.
AUGGUGCAUAAAUUUAUCGUGAGUUUGCCUUUUGACCAACUAUCCCUUGGACAGGAGUGGAUAGUGCAAGCAAAACUGAUACGGUGUCCGGCCCCCCUCCCUGAGACCACGCAGGAUCCCGUGUUAAUCAAAAUGUUGGAGGUUGCACCUUCAAAGAACGGCAAAGGGAGGCACAGGGGAACUACCACCUCUGCCAAGGAGGCCUUUAAUAAGGGAGGAAUCGAGUGUCCCUCCUUCCAGGGGGAGAAGAGGACAACUUCCGAAGACCCGGAGGCCAAGUCCUCAAAGCGGGGAAAGAAAUCUGUACCGGAAGGUCCUAUGCUGGGAAGAGCCCCGGCCGUACUGUCUCCUCGGAGGAAUCAGCCCUCCAGCGAGCCGUAA